ACGAACGCUGGCGGCGUGCUUAACACAUGCAAGUCGAACGGAGUGAUGGCUUCGGCCAUCACUGAGUGGCGGACGGGUGAGUAACGCGUGGGAACCUGCCCAACAGUGGGGAAUAACAGCGGGAAACCGCUGCUAAUACCGCAUACGUCCUUCGGGAGAAAGGCUUCGGCCGCUGUUGGAUGGGCCCGCGUCCGAUUAGCUAGUUGGUGGGGUAACGGCCUACCAAGGCGACGAUCGGUAGCUGGUCUGAGAGGACGACCAGCCACACUGGGACUGAGACACGGCCCAGACUCCUACGGGAGGCAGCAGUGGGGAAUAUUGGACAAUGGGGGAAACCCUGAUCCAGCGACGCCGCGUGAGUGAAGAAGGCCUUAGGGUUGUAAAGCUCUUUCACCGGGGAAGAUGAUGACGGUACCCGGAGAAGAAGCCCCGGCUAACUCCGU
Molecule: ribosomal RNA, 443 nt
Filed under: uncultured bacterium
Lineage: Bacteria
Description: bacterial SSU rRNA
Rfam family: Bacterial small subunit ribosomal RNA
Source: RNAcentral